Xiphophorus maculatus (southern platyfish) is the source of this 479-nucleotide long non-coding RNA. RefSeq lists it as uncharacterized. The record is from RefSeq and is a predicted model, not a curated record. Lineage: Eukaryota; Metazoa; Chordata; Actinopteri; Cyprinodontiformes; Poeciliidae. The transcript is spliced from 3 exons.
GUGACCUGCGCGGAAAGAAACGAAUGUUGUUGCUCCUCCGUCUCCUACUUUUUGACUGUUUAAUCGAGUUUUAAAGAUGACGAAGACAGGAAAACCGGACUCUUACUGGGCUGGUGUUAUGCAGCUGUAUGCUCAGGGCAAGUUCCGAUUUACCACCGGGAAGAGACCUGGAGCCAGAAGAUGGAAAUCUGUCAUCCAGCGGAUAGACACAUGCCCACUGACUCCUGCCUUCAACCAAAAAGUCAGGACAAUCGACAUAUUUGGGAAAAAAAUUCCCUGCAACUGUGGUUAUCAUACGAGCAAUGUUGUGAACAUUGUGGGAAAAAGGUCAUGGGUGCAGUUGGUUUGCUUCAUCAUAUUGAAGAAGGUCAUGAGCCACCAGGCAAAACAUCACCAUCUAUGCCAGACCAACAUCAAGCAUUUAAACUACAUGGGAUACCAGCAACUUCACCCCAUAAACCAGCAGCAUCUCCCCAGAA